This is a long non-coding RNA of Rhododendron vialii, 878 nucleotides long. RefSeq lists it as uncharacterized. NCBI's taxonomy places the organism in Eukaryota, Viridiplantae, Streptophyta, Magnoliopsida, Ericales, Ericaceae. The record is from RefSeq and is a predicted model, not a curated record. The transcript has 2 exons.
GCUAAGGGCUGAAUGGUAACGGGAACCAUGGUCGACGGUAGCCCAGAACAGCCUGUGCAACUAGACCGCCGCCGUUCCUCCAUUGCCAAAAGACACCGCUUCGUCACCUCUGACGCCACCCACAUCGCGCUCCCUUCUGAAACAAAAUAGUAGCUCUCUCUCUCUCUCCCCCCUCCCAAAGCGCUAUUCCAAUUUUCAACCACCACCGACGCACCACCACCAUCUCUCCUCUCUCUUGACCUAAUCUCUCCUCCUAAACCGAUAUUAUCUCUCGUCCAUCUCUCCUCCUAAACCACCACCGACGACCGCUGCACCAUCGUGGUACCACCACCACCACCACCGGACUCCACCGGCCAUCGAUCUCCUCAGAAAUCGAAGGUGACAACAAGAUGGCCGUUCAACUCAGAAGACGAUCCCACAUGGGAGUGCCAAACUGCCAAAGUAUUUUCUUGGAUAUCAGAUUGUUGAAGCUUCACAUGGGCUUAUCUUUUAAUUGGAGGUCACGGGAUGCUAAUGCGGUGGCUCACUAUGUCGCAACAAUGGUUUGUUUGUAGAUUGGUGAUGGGCUAUUCUCAAGCCAAGGCUCUAAUGCCAGUGUCGCCCAACCGAUGUCAAGCUCUGAGCCAAGGGCCAUCUACCAUCCAAGGUUCUUAAGCCAGCCAAGUAUCACAACCCAUGGGUCUUCCAUCUGCAUCCUAAGGGAUAAAAAAGAUGAACUCAGACAUGUCUUCUUCUUCUUUUUGUUGCUGAACGUGAAGUAUUUUUUGUAUAUGGUAUAUUAAUGAACUUUGCCAACACUAUGGUUGGGAAAGUUGCAAUUGGUGUAGUAUGUAAGUGGAACAUUGGUUGGAAAAAAUCGCAAUGAAUUGUGGUGAUUG